GAUGAUACCCAUUGCAUAGUUCACACUGAACCAUCGUGUUGACAACUAUAUAUCUUUCAAACGUCUUUCGCUCCUAUCUGA
Sphaerobolus stellatus SS14 is the source of this 81-nucleotide small nucleolar RNA. It matches the Rfam family "Small nucleolar RNA snR60/Z15/Z230/Z193/J17", at positions 12 to 90 of the family's 98-position model. From Rfam's summary of the family: The members of this family belong to the C/D class of snoRNAs which contain the C (UGAUGA) and D (CUGA) box motifs. Most of the members of the box C/D family function in directing site-specific 2'-O-methylation of substrate RNAs. The record is from Rfam. NCBI's taxonomy places the organism in Eukaryota, Fungi, Basidiomycota, Agaricomycetes, Geastrales, Sphaerobolaceae.